UUUCUUCUUUCCCCUCUUGCUUUCCAGCUUUCUUUUAAUCAACACGUAUUUUAAUAAUGAAAAAUAAUCACAUACUUUAAAAUAAUUACUUGAACCUAAACAAAAGGACAGACACCACUCCCUCACUUGGGCAGGAGUUUUAACCUCUGCCCACAGUCACCGUAAGCCGAGCUGUCUUGGGGGUGCUGCCAGUGACCAGCGGCCUGUGUGGGGAUCUGGCUGGAGGAGGGUUCACCAAGAAGGGAGAGCCAGAAGCCUCUUGACUCAACUCAAAAAGUCCAGGGUGACGCCGCGCCCACCAAAGUCGUGUGUGCCUGAGGCUCUGCGGAAUUGAGACUGGGCUGAACCACAGAACAAGAGCUCCAGCAGCUCUCGGGAAACCAGCGUCCAUCUGGAACCCAAACUAAAAAGCACAACUGGACCUCAGGCUGUGAAGAAGGACAAGGGCGCUCAGCACUGAAAUCUGACAUGAGAACAGGAACAAAGCCUGUGGAAACCCGCUUUCUCUCGAGCAAUGACAGCGCGGAUCCACAGGCUCACUCAUGCUCCCCAUCAACUAGCAAAGCUGUGGCACCACACGGGCUGCGGGCACCGGUCCUGCCCAUCACAGGACACCUGGCACCCUCGGGUGGAGGGGCUCAAGGACCACCCUGUCUCCAGAACACCACGCCAGGACGGAGAAGUCCAGGGACGGCAGAACCCGUGUCCUUUGUGGACUGUGUGAUGAGGGAGCCGAAAGAGGCAGCUGAGGCCACCAGACUUGGGAGCCUGCUGGAGGGGCUGGGAUAGCAGGCCCUGGGCCCCUGAUGGAGGGGUGCUGGUGGCUGUGGCCAGGACCUAAGGAACAACCUGGGGUGGCAGCGGGCAGGGACAAGGCUGCUUCUAGGAGGGAGAAGCAGGGGCCCGGCCCACGCCUGCUGCUGCAGCGAAGCCUCCUGCAUGGGCUCACUCAUGCAGGACAGCAGGAGCAGAAGAAGCCCUCACCUGACCCCAUGCCCCUGUCCCCACCCCUCCCUUCCUAUCCCCACCCUCCCCAGGGCCACCCCCUCACCCACACUC
RNAcentral lists this long non-coding RNA (1059 nucleotides) under Homo sapiens (human). RNAcentral describes it as "HSALNT0338894". The record is from RNAcentral. Lineage: Eukaryota; Metazoa; Chordata; Mammalia; Primates; Hominidae.